UACAGAGGUGGCAAGCGUUGUUCGGAAUUACUGGGCGUAAAGCGUGCGCAGGCGGUUCGCUAAGACAGAUGUGAAAUCCCCGGGCUUAACCUGGGAACUGCAUUUGUGACUGGCGGGCUAGAGUAUGGGCAGAGGGGGGUAGAGUUCCACGUGUAGCAGUGAAAUGCGUAGAGAUGUGGAGGAAUACCGAUGGCGAAGGCAGCCCCCUGGGCCAAUACUGACGCUCAUGCACGAAAGCGUGGGGAGCAAACAGG
This 254-nucleotide ribosomal RNA is filed under the name uncultured bacterium. RNAcentral describes it as "partial 16S ribosomal RNA". It matches the Rfam family "Bacterial small subunit ribosomal RNA", at positions 524 to 776 of the family's 1533-position model. The record is from RNAcentral.